Molecule: ribosomal RNA, 1029 nt
Filed under: Triticum aestivum (bread wheat)
Lineage: Eukaryota; Viridiplantae; Streptophyta; Magnoliopsida; Poales; Poaceae
Description: partial small subunit ribosomal RNA
Source: RNAcentral
AUGAAUGAACUACUGCUGAAAGAAUUCACACGACAGGAAGUGUUUGAGGCAUUGCAAAGUAUAGGAGACUUGAAAGCUCCCGGGCCGGAUGGGAUGCCCUCGGUCUUCUACAAGAAAUGUUGGGAUGUUGUGGGCGAUAAUAUUGUUGCUGAGGUGUUGAAUGUCUUGAAUGGUGGCCCAAUGCCGGAGGGAUGGAACGAGACGUGUGUGGUGCUUAUCCCCAAAGUCAAGAGUCCAGAGAGCAUGAAGGAUCUUCGUCCAAUCAGCCUCUGUAAUGUCGUCUACAAGACAGUUUCCAAGGUGCUGGCCAACCGAUUGAAACAAAUCCUCCCAGAGAUUAUAUACCCUAAUCAGAGUGCGUUUGUACCGGGUCGGUUAAUAACGGAUAAUAUCCUUCUAGCCUACGAGUGUACGCACUAUAUGCAGAACAAAAGAGAAGGUAAAGAGGGUUAUGCAGCGGUGAAGCUUGAUAUGAGCAAGGCAUAUGACCGAGUGGAGUGGCACUUCUUGGAGAAGAUGAUGAGGAAAAUGGGAUUCAGUGAGGUUUGGAUCGACCGGGUCAUGCUUUGUGUUACCACAGUAUCAUACAGAGUGAAUGUUAAUGGCGAAUACACGGAUGUGAUACUGCCGCAAAGAGGCCUGAGGCAAGGUGAUCCCCUCUCCCCGUACUUGUUUCUCAUUUGUGCGGAAGGGUUUUCAUCACUGUUAAAUAAAGCGGAGGCGGAUGGCAGCUUGAAGGGGAUUCGUAUUUGCAACGCGGCCCCGAGCUUUAACCACUUACUGUUUGCAGAUGACUCACUAGUGCUCAUUAAAGCUUCACGAGAGAGUGCUACGUCACUGCAGAAUAUGUUAACACUAUAUGAGGUAUGCUCGGGCCAAGUUGUGAAUUAUGACAAGUCCUCUGUCAUGUUCAGCAAGAACACUAGCCAAGUGCAAAGGCAUGAGGUUCUGGAGGCUUUGCAUAUUAGAGCUGAGGCAAAAACGGAGAGGUAUCUAGGCCUCCUAGUGUAUGUAGGCCAAGCAAGGAAA